AAGUUUCAGCUUAUUUUCAUAAGACUCAAGGUUUGAGAUAAGACAAUCUUUAUAGAACUCAUCUCAAGGUAAUUUAAAGCAUGUCUUGCAAUAUAAGGAAGUUCAUAAAAAUCAAUCCAUAAGAUUUAAGGUAUACAUCAAAUUGAAGUAACUUUAGGAUAAGAUACUGAAUAUCUAAAGCUCCCCCUCAAAAGAUGCAUACUUCUUUAAUCAUUCUUUUCUUUUGUUGAAUUUCAGAUUUUAAUGACAAACGUGAAUAGAACUGAAAUUCUAUGAUAUCGAGAAUGGAGAGUGAUCAAGAAUUAUUCAGAAUUUAUAGCAAUCACCCUUUUUAAUCUAUCAAGAACAAGUUAUGCUUCCUCUUAAUCUUUGAGAAAAUGUACUGAAAUAUUAAUCAGAAAAUGAUUCAUUUGACGCUCAGUUUCUUUCAACAGCAUUUACAUUUUC
This 447-nucleotide long non-coding RNA is filed under the name Phoenix dactylifera (date palm). Its description in RNAcentral is "long non-coding RNA (PDAC_LNC009660)". Lineage: Eukaryota; Viridiplantae; Streptophyta; Magnoliopsida; Arecales; Arecaceae. The record is from RNAcentral.